This 70-nucleotide small RNA is filed under the name Intestinibaculum porci. Lineage: Bacteria; Bacillati; Bacillota; Erysipelotrichia; Erysipelotrichales; Erysipelotrichaceae. The record is from RNAcentral.
CUAGCUACAACCGCACAUAAAAGGUAUUAAAGGUACAAAGUACUGCCUUGGUUGGCGAGUCUAAGAAAAA